CGCGUAGGUGGCCAUGUAAGUCCGCUGUGAAAGUCAAAGGCUCAACCUUUGAAAGCCGGUGGAUACUGCAUGGCUAGAGUACGGAAGAGGCGAGUGGAAUUCCUGGUGUAGCGGUGGAAUGCGCAGAUAUCAGGAGGAACACCAAUAGCGAAGGCAGCUCGCUGGGACGUUACUGACACUGAGGCGCGAAAGCGUGGGGAGCGAACA
Molecule: ribosomal RNA, 207 nt
Filed under: uncultured bacterium
Lineage: Bacteria
Description: partial 16S ribosomal RNA
Rfam family: Bacterial small subunit ribosomal RNA
Source: RNAcentral